Molecule: long non-coding RNA, 376 nt
Organism: Carassius gibelio (silver crucian carp)
Lineage: Eukaryota; Metazoa; Chordata; Actinopteri; Cypriniformes; Cyprinidae
Exons: 3
Source: RefSeq, a predicted model, not a curated record
UAAUCAUGUAGCGACUUGAACAAGGGGGGGUAAUAAUUCGGCAGGGGGUCGAAAUUUGGCACAACACCUGCAAACAGUGGGAAUACAGUAAUCCGGACAAAGCUGUGCCAAGAGAAAUCCGAAUCACCCACUGAAUCUUGCAGAGAAGGCGAACGUGAACAGGAGCAAAUUUUGACAUGUGUGACGAGUGGGGCGGGGUCGAGAGCCGUGGGAACGGAGCGAGGCCGGUGGAGUGAUUGGAAAUGAGCGACACCUGCUCGACCCACCGUUCUCGAGUCCAACAGAAGAGAUUGAAGGAUAUAAAACAGGAGUGAAGACAGUGAAGGACAAGAGAGGACCAGGCCUGAAUUUAUUUUGUGUUAUGAUUUUUUUAGUG